UGCUGGUGGUGAAGCACGACCUGGCAGAGCACUGGGCCUUGCCAGGGGUGAGCCACCAACU
Molecule: small nucleolar RNA, 61 nt
Filed under: Myotis lucifugus (little brown bat)
Lineage: Eukaryota; Metazoa; Chordata; Mammalia; Chiroptera; Vespertilionidae
Description: Z6 small nucleolar RNA (ENSMLUG00000023905.1)
Source: RNAcentral